UCGAAGUACAAUUAGAUCUACUUUAUCAAGAUGGGCAAGAUUGGCAUCCAGAAACUUGUCACUCCAACUAAAUAUCUGCUUACAUGCACCCAUGAUCUUGUCAUACACCAAACCUAGCACCCAUGUCUCACAAGCGCUCUGGAGCUGAUUCAUGUUAUCAUCGUUUCUCACGCAAGGAAAUUCAAGCUUAGAAUUGCUU
Molecule: long non-coding RNA, 199 nt
Filed under: Physcomitrium patens
Lineage: Eukaryota; Viridiplantae; Streptophyta; Bryopsida; Funariales; Funariaceae
Description: long non-coding RNA (PPAT_LNC005652)
Source: RNAcentral